Molecule: long non-coding RNA, 712 nt
Filed under: Mus spicilegus (steppe mouse)
Lineage: Eukaryota; Metazoa; Chordata; Mammalia; Rodentia; Muridae
Description: lncRNA (ENSMSIG00000028536.1)
Source: RNAcentral
GGCUUUUGUGCUGGGUUGAGCUGUAUCUUCCCACAGUGGUAUGCUGAAGUCCCUGUUCCCUGUACGACAGGAUGUGACCAGAUUAUUGUGAGACAUUGUUUCUGUUCAGCCGUUCCACUCCUGGGAGCUAAUAAUCUACUCGGAGGCAGAAAGCCUUCAUAGGAAACAGGUCACAAGGCAAGGCAUUACAGAAUUUCAGGACCGUAGAAUCUGUGCCCUGGAGCAGCCAAGCAGUCCUUGACAGUGGCAUCUCCUUAGACACACAGCUGGGUUCCCAGAAAGCCAUCGUCUGGCCUCUCUCCCUAGACUGGCCAUCCAUCGGAUUGAUUAGGGCCCUGUCUCCAAAGACAGUUCCCUUUUGAAGAGGCUUUGACAUAUGGAUGACCCAGCUCAGCCUAUGGAUUUUCCACAGUCCCAACUACAGCACAUUCAGGGUCUUAUGGAAUCUUUCUCAUCGGGACUUCCUGGGAAGAUGGGAACAAAUGCCUAUUCACGUCAGAUAGGGCCCGGAUGACAGACAAGAGAGGUGAGUCCAUUCAAGUCUGACAGGCUGAACCAGAGAGUUUAUUGGGGUUGCUUACAAAGCAUGGGUGCUGAUUUAGACGCACAUGAGUGACUCAAAGGCCACUGUAUCACCCCAAAGCCCAACCCAGCAUGGGUGGCGACUCAGGCAAGGUACAUCCUUGGAGCUCCAUGCACAGCUUGCUCUCCC